CAAGUUCUGGGUUGAGUCCUAGGGAUGGGCUUCAAUGCAGUGAAUUACGGAAGAUACCUGGAAUGUUAUUGCCUGAGGAUUAACUGCAUAGUUAAAUCAGUUACAGAUCUGUCCCUGAAGCAAGAGAAUAGACCAAUCAAUGUUUCAGGUUCUUUUCUUUUCAAUACUAGCAUUGAUUGCUCAUGUUAUAAAUGGUGACUCUUAAAAAUGAAGGAGUUGACAAAUUAGAUAGUAUGGCUUGGCAUUUGCAGUUUUGUAUAUGUCCUCUCCCUCCUCACCCCUUCAUCCAAGCGUAAUCCAAGUCUCAAUAGUAUCUGAAAAAGACCUUGACUCUGCAGGUUCCUGGGAUGGGUGGAGUGAGCAUGAAUGAUGUACACAUGUAAGGUAUGCCCAUCACAUGUGUGGACAUGUCAGAGGAACACCCAUGUCAUGAUUGGUGAAUCUAGAUGGGAAUUCUUUCCCUCAGCACUGCUUUAAUCAUGCAUUACUUCUUUUUAAUAAGAGGAGUCUCUAGUUUUACCAGUUAUAUUUUCCUUACAACACAUUCGAUAAAUAAUGGUUUUCAUUUUAAAUGUUUUUGUUCUCACAGUGUGAAUCGGAAAGUCCCAGGAUGAUCAGGAAUUUUUCUUGAGUAUAAAUCUGAAACAGAAACUCUCCAGAUCUCAAAGACCUUUCAGAUAGAAAUCAGAAGGCUCCAGUCUGGAAUAGCACCUUAAAAAUGAGCUUCCCUGGCUGGCUGGAGUCUUCAAGACAAAUCCAGAGUCAAGGAGCAGUGCUGAUCUCCUGGACCCCCUACUGCACCCCCGAACUUCCAGAGGCUUGUGGUUGUUGUGUCAAAGUGGGAAGAAUGACUUCUCUGCAAGUGCUUGCUGCUUAUCGUCAACCAGGAGGUCCUGAAGUAGCACUCAAGUCUCAUAAAGUCCGUUAUGAAAACUGGUUGGGGGACUUCCCUGGCGGUCCAGUGGUUAAAACUUUGCCUGCUAAUGCAGGGGGUGUGGAUUUGAUUCCUGGUCGGACAGCUAAGAUCCCACAUGCCUGGUCGCCAAAACAAGGACACACAAAGCAGAAGCAAUAUUGUAACAAAUUCAAUAAAGACUUAAAAAAAAAAAAAAAAACACAGGUUGAGCCAUAAGUUCGAACAUGGACACACAUACACACCCCACACACAUGCUUAUACAUACGCACACUGCUCUUUAGAUACAGAACACAGCCAUUUUUAUAAAGUAAAUAUAUAGUCUCUCCACCUACAGCAGCACGGAC
Molecule: long non-coding RNA, 1260 nt
Filed under: Bos mutus (wild yak)
Lineage: Eukaryota; Metazoa; Chordata; Mammalia; Artiodactyla; Bovidae
Description: lncRNA (ENSBMUG00000009151.1)
Source: RNAcentral